UACGUAGGGGCUAGCGUUAUCCGGAAUUACUGGGCGUAAAGGGUGCGUAGGUGGUUUCUCAAGUCAGAGGUGAAAGGCUACGGCUCAACCGUAGUAAGCCUUUGAAACUGAGAAACUUGAGUGCAGGAGAGGAGAGUAGAAUUCCUAGUGUAGCGGUGAAAUGCGUAGAUAUUAGGAGGAAUACCAGUUGCGAAGGCGGCUCUCUGGACUGUAACUGACACUGAGGCACGAAAGCGUGGGGAGCAAACAGGAUUAGAUACCCUGGUAGUCCCU
RNAcentral lists this ribosomal RNA (273 nucleotides) under uncultured prokaryote. RNAcentral's name for it is "partial 16S ribosomal RNA". It matches the Rfam family "Bacterial small subunit ribosomal RNA", at positions 524 to 798 of the family's 1533-position model. The record is from RNAcentral.